UAUUUAGUUUUCAGUAUAGGC
This is a non-coding RNA of Caenorhabditis elegans, 21 nucleotides long. Lineage: Eukaryota; Metazoa; Nematoda; Chromadorea; Rhabditida; Rhabditidae. The record is from Ensembl.